CCUACGUGGUGCAGCAGUGAGGAAUAUUGGUCAAUGGACGAGAGUCUGAACCAGCCAAGUAGCGUGAAGGAUGACUGCCCUAUGGGUUGUAACCUUCUUUUAUAUGGGAAUAAAAUGUUCCACGUGUGGGAUUUUGUAUGUACCAUAUGAAUAAGGAUCGUCUAACUCCGUGCCAGCGGCCGCGGUAAUACGGAGGAUCCGAGCGUUAUCCGGAUUUAUUGGGUUUAAAGGGCGCGUAGGUGGAUUGUUAAGUCAGUUGUGAAAGUUGGCGGCUCAACCGUAAGAUUGCAGUUGAAACUGGCAUUCUUGAGUACAGUAGAGGUGGGCGGAAUUCGUGGUGUAGCGGUGAAAUGCUUAGAUAUCACGAAGAACUCCGAUUGCGAAGGCAGCUCACUGGACUGCAACUGACACUGAGGCUCGAAAGUGUGGGUAUCAAACAGGAUUAGAUACCCGUGUAGUC
This 460-nucleotide ribosomal RNA is filed under the name uncultured bacterium. Its description in RNAcentral is "partial 16S ribosomal RNA". It matches the Rfam family "Bacterial small subunit ribosomal RNA", at positions 338 to 795 of the family's 1533-position model. The record is from RNAcentral.